RNAcentral lists this non-coding RNA (21 nucleotides) under Arabidopsis thaliana (thale cress). The record is from RNAcentral. Lineage: Eukaryota; Viridiplantae; Streptophyta; Magnoliopsida; Brassicales; Brassicaceae.
GCGAUUUGUCUGGUUAAUUCC